This 2470-nucleotide long non-coding RNA is filed under the name Phasianus colchicus (ring-necked pheasant). RNAcentral describes it as "lncRNA (ENSPCLG00000010365.1)". The record is from RNAcentral. Lineage: Eukaryota; Metazoa; Chordata; Aves; Galliformes; Phasianidae.
CUGAUUUUAGCAGUGAAUACCCACAGCUCAGCCCCGCAGGCUGCGUUUGGGUUCUGCACGGUGCAUCAUUGGCCAAAAGGGGAACUUUGGGAAAAUCUGAAUAUCUGACACUGGAAAUGAGGGUCAGACCCUCCUGUGCUGGAAUUUACAGGGAGGGAUUGUCCCAAGGAUGGAAAGCCAGCAUGGACCCAAGGUGUGGGAAUGCUGUCCUCUCCUACUGAUACACAGCAAAGGACAAAGAAGGCAAAAGCAGAGAAGCAGAGAGGGAGCCAGAAAGCACAGCCAGCUCCCCGAGCCCCAUUCCAUCCCUCCCACUGCUCCCCUCUCAAAUAUUUGGCGUUCCCCACUGCUGCCAUGGCGCUGAGAGCGGAAUGUUUGUGCAGCAACACGAGGGCUGUGGGCUCUGCUGGGGGCUGUGCAGAGGAACCCGUGGCCCAAAGGGAUCCAGGAGGGAAGUGCUUGGGGGAUCGGUGUCACUGCCUCCAACCCAUAUGGGCUGGAAGAGUAGCACUGGGCUGAGGUGGAGCAGAGCCAACCCUACUGCUGCAGGGAAGGUUCUUUGUGAGCUCCAGAAAGGAAAAAAGGAGGGUGAAUGAGCUCUGAGGGUGGGGAUAGGGCCCAGGGCCUGAAGAUUCCCAAGCAAUAAUGUCUCAGACAGAGGGAUGACCUGCGGUUGCAGUGUUGGCGUGGAUCUCAGAAAACCUGCUCUCCUCUCAGCUGCAGCCUUCAGUGGAUGCCCGAGGUCCAUCUCUUCACCCACAAACCUUCCCAGCAGUGACAUGCUCUGCCUCUCAAUGCUUUUCAGCACCUUUUCCAUCACUUUUUCACCCAUGGCAGAGCCAGGACCUCAGGUUCACCCCUUUGCACGCCGCACCACAGUGACCUUCCUUUCCUUGGCCACCCCCUCGUUGGCUUUGCACGGCUGCAGGAUCUCAGAGCUGAGCACAAAGCCCACCAGUGCAGCUCUCCAUGAGCCCACGUGGCUACCGCACAGGGACAGCGCCGCGUCCUGUCAUCCUGGCUCAUAUUCAAACCAGGGAAGUGGAGAAACAUCUCCAGGCUCAUUCCCAUUCCCUUCAGCCAUCUGGUCCUCCGCUCUUGGAGCCUUCCUGGCCUCAGGAGGAGCCCAGCGUGGCUCUUUGUGGGAUCUUCCCUCUGCCAGCCCGUCUCCGCUUUCAUCCCCGGUGCCAUGCCCGCCUCCUCAUCCCCUUUGAUUCCAGGACCUGAGGAGCAGACCGGCUCGGGGAAUGUCUUGUCAAGUCCACCUCCCCCUCCUCCUCCUCCCCAGAGGCCUUCUGCAUUGUCUCCCUGUGGUGCAGACGGAGCCCGAGAGAUCAAAGCCCCAACCGUCUUUUUUUAGCUCCGGGUGGAAUGCGCGGUGCCUCCUGCUGCUGCUGCUGUCCCGGCUGAGCGGUGCUCCCCGUAACUCGAGCCUCCCAUCCCUGGGGGUGAGGGGCUGACAGGUGACACGGAGCCGCUGCAGCGGGCAGAGCCUCGGCAACAAGUCUGACUUUGCACCGAGAAGCUCUCCGGCAACAGUUGGGAGAUGUCUGCGGUUAGCAUGGGAUGUGCCUCGUAACAAAGAACCUACCUGGAUGGAAUUAACCCUUGCAACCUUUUUUUUUUUUUUUUUUUUUCCCUUCUUUCCUUUCUCCUGGUUGGAGAGGUGUAGAACCUCUUGUUGGGGUUGCAAAGAGUUUUUUCUUCCUUUCAUCUUUCCUUGUGCCCAUCUCACAGCUCCGUCCUCCUGCCCAGAUUUAGGGGAGGUUUUCCCCAUCCCUGGAGAUGUUCCAGAGCCAUUUAGAUGGGACACGGUUUGUGGGCAUGGUGGGAUGGGUUGGGGUUGGACCUGAGGUCUUUUCCAACCUUAAGGAUUCUGUGAUUCCAUGAGUGGACACCCUGGUGAUGGGCUCUGAGCCUUGAGCUCUCAGCCUUGAGGUCUUUUCCACCUGCUCUCAGGUGGGUGGGUGGUGGGCAGCUUUGCUGGGGUGCAGCAACACCUCCAUACGACCUGCACUGGUGGGCAACUGCAGCUGGGACCUCAGAGCACCUGCUGCUGUCAUUUGGGUUGUUCCCAUGUUUCUCACUGCCUUCUGCUGGGAAUCACCUUUUGGAAAAGUUCAUGGCCCGUUUUGACCUCGAGGGUCGCAGCAAACCAAUAGUCCUGCCACGAAGGGCACAGCCUGGGAGGGAGAUGUGUUUGGUUUGUGGUUGAUAGCUUCUUUCAGGCACACUGAAGCUCAGUUUCCACACAUGCUCCAUGCAAUUUUUUCCCAGCCCCAGCACCGUUCUGGGCAGGGAUUGCUGGCAUCUGUGCACUAGCAGAGAUGGGAUUCCUAAAACCCCAAAGCCUGGGGCAGAUUUCCUGUGCCUCCGUUCCUGGCAGGGAAUGCAGCGAGCUGCCAGCAAAACUCAGAUAAAGACUUUGCUCAAAGGGGUUGUUCAAUGAAUAAAUGAAAAGGAAACAGCA